GACGAACGCUGGCGGCGUGCUUAACACAUGCAAGUCGAACGGAAAGGCCCUGCUUUUGUGGGGUGCUCGAGUGGCGAACGGGUGAGUAACACGUGAGUAACCUGCCCUUGACUUUGGGAUAACUUCAGGAAACUGGGGCUACUACCGGAUAGGAGCUCCUGCUGCAUGGUGGGGGUUGGAAAGUUUCGGCGGUUGGGGAUGGACUCGCGGCUUAUCAGCUUGUUGGUGGGGUAGUGGCUUACCAAGGCUUUGACGGGUAGCCGGCAUGAGAGGGUGACCGGCCACAUUGGGACUGAGAUACGGCCCAGACUCCUACGGGAGGCAGCAGUGGGGAAUAUUGCACAAUGGGCGGAAGCCUGAUGCAGCAACGCCGCGUGCGGGAUGACGGCCUUCGGGUUGUAAACCGCUUUCGCCUGUGACGAAGCGUGAGUGACGGUAAUGGGUAAAGAAGCACCGGCUAACUACGUG
This 468-nucleotide ribosomal RNA is filed under the name uncultured bacterium. Its description in RNAcentral is "partial 16S ribosomal RNA". It matches the Rfam family "Bacterial small subunit ribosomal RNA", at positions 28 to 507 of the family's 1533-position model. The record is from RNAcentral.